GCAAGCCCGCCUCACCCUGCUCGAUGGAGGGAAUCCCCCUUGUGUUAUUUGUUUUGCCUGUUGAUUCAACCGUGCUGCUCCUCUGGUGGACAGAUUCCAUGUCAGCGAACAUUAUGGAGAACCUACUGUACUGUGGCAGCCAUGUCACAUAAAUCCCUGCUUCUCAUAAGUGGAAAACCAAAGGAAAAUAUGGACACAGAUAUAGAAUGACACAUCAAGAGGCUGAGCAGAAAAGACUGGUGCUUCUUAAAGCCCUUCUAGCACAGAAGAGGACCAUUUCAUCAAGCUGAAGGAGG
This is a long non-coding RNA of Hipposideros armiger (great roundleaf bat), 296 nucleotides long. RefSeq lists it as uncharacterized. Lineage: Eukaryota; Metazoa; Chordata; Mammalia; Chiroptera; Hipposideridae. The transcript has 3 exons. The record is from RefSeq and is a predicted model, not a curated record.